AACAGAGAAACCAUCAGAUGAUCCUUGUAUGAACUGUUCAUGAUCACAAUGCUGCUCUUAUAGGUUGAGUUUUGUUUUCUAUAACCUCUCUUCCUCUGCAGUUAGUGUUACUGAUAUGUAUGGGGUUUUUUUCAUAAGGCUGAGUUUGCUGCUCUGCCUGUUUCUUGAAAAUUCAAUGAUAUCCUAAUUACACAUUUCAUUUCAGGGCUGCUUUUUUUUCAACGUGUCGGUCCCUGUUGCUGUUCAAAUUAAUAGCUCCUUUUAUGCCACACCUCCAGUCAAACUUGGAUUUGGCUUCCCUGAACUGUUCUUGGCACAUUAUAUAGCCCUAUAGGCUCUUGGCAGCCAAGGCUCUGAAGGAAAUUCCAGAUCUGCCUGGUAUCAUGGGUGGAUGGACCCAGUCCAACCAUUCAUGCUAAUUAACUGGCUUGUUUUCUUUUGCAGGACAAUGUAGUUUCUCUGGACUUUACUUGGAAAGCAUUACAACAAAAGAAAACUGUGUGAUUGCUACCUGUAUGCUAUCCAAUGUUUAGCUACUAAACAGUUUGGUUCACAGCUUCACGUCUAGCUUUUGCGUGUCCCUAUCUUUCCAGUAUUCCACUAGCCAGUAAGGAUGCUGGCUAAGCAUGGGGUUCACUUAGGAGUAACUGUGUACACUGAAUAUUAAGGAUCAUAUUUUCAAGAAUAACUUCAACACAUGACCUUGCAAGUUUGCACAUAUAUAUUCCUUGAAACAGGCAUGUCUAUACUGCAGUUGUGGAAGCAAUUUCAGCAUAGUAUAAAGAGGUUCAAAACAGUAUUCAGCUAUGGAACUUUUGUCUGAUGUAACAGGGAACCCGUGCCCUUGUUGAUAGGGUGACCUGAAUAGGUAGGAAAGCAGGGGUCAGGCAAGGCAACCAGUGCAGAGGCCCAGGUGGCCUGAACCAGGGAUGAAAAGGCCAGACAGCUAAUGAAGCAAUGAGCUACACCUGGCCCUAGCAGAUAGAGGAAGAGGGUCCAAUCAGAUGACUGGAAGGAGGCUGAGCUGGGGGCUAUAAGACCAGUCUCUGAGCAGGUAGACACAGACAUCACAAGCAACACAAGGGAGCUACAGAUGAGAGGGCUCUGAUGAAAGAUCCAAAUAUGAGCAACCAGAGCAUUGCAAUAGGCUACAAUGAUUACUGACAGUCAAAGCAUGCCAUUCCCUAGAGGAAGAGUUAACCAGGUGUGCUCAGACUAGAACAGCUGUGUGAAUCCUGACUUCAUUAAAUCCAGAGGGAGAACAGAUUAAAGAGGAACUGGCUGGAAAACAAACAACAGUUCUCUUUCUAGAGAUGCACCCA
This is a long non-coding RNA of Alligator sinensis (Chinese alligator), 1322 nucleotides long. RefSeq lists it as uncharacterized. The transcript is spliced from 4 exons. The record is from RefSeq and is a predicted model, not a curated record. NCBI's taxonomy places the organism in Eukaryota, Metazoa, Chordata, Crocodylia, Alligatoridae.